Small nuclear RNA from Leptinotarsa decemlineata (Colorado potato beetle), 130 nucleotides. RefSeq annotates it as U11 spliceosomal RNA. Lineage: Eukaryota; Metazoa; Arthropoda; Insecta; Coleoptera; Chrysomelidae. The record is from RefSeq and is a predicted model, not a curated record.
AAAAAGGGUGCUUGUUACUGGAUAGCACACGAGUCCUAUGGAUUCGUGGGGUAUGGGAAUCAAGACAUACCCAGCACGCAAUUUUUGUACGCGUGGGGCUGUUUCUUGGCACUGUCUCAGAGACGCCCCC